RNAcentral lists this ribosomal RNA (254 nucleotides) under uncultured bacterium. RNAcentral describes it as "partial 16S ribosomal RNA". It matches the Rfam family "Bacterial small subunit ribosomal RNA", at positions 524 to 776 of the family's 1533-position model. The record is from RNAcentral.
UACGGGGGGAGCAAGCGUUGUUCGGAUUUACUGGGCGUAAAGGGCGCGUAGGCGGUCGUGACAAGUCACUUGUGAAAUCUCCGGGCUUAACUCGGAACGGUCAAGUGAUACUGUCGGACUAGAGUACAGAAGGGGGCAACUGGAAUUCUCGGUGUAGCGGUGAAAUGCGUAGAUAUCGAGAGGAACACCUGCGGCGAAGGCGGGUUGCUGGGCUGAUACUGACGCUGAGGCGCGAAAGCCAGGGAGCAAACGGG